GACGAACGCUGGCGGCGUGCCUAAUACAUGCAAGUCGAACGCUUCUUUCCUCCCGAGUGCUUGCACUCAAUUGGAAAGAGGAGUGGCGGACGGGUGAGUAACACGUGGGUAACCUACCCAUCAGAGGGGGAUAACACUUGGAAACAGGUGCUAAUACCGCAUAACAGUUUAUGCCGCAUGGCAUAAGAGUGAAAGGCGCUUUCGGGUGUCGUUGAUGGAUGGACCCGCGGUGCAUUAGCUAGUUGGUGAGGUAACGGCUCACCAAGGCCACGAUGCAUAGCCGACCUGGGAGGGUGAUCGGCCACACUGGGACUGAGACACGGCCCAGACUCCUACGGGAGGCAGCAGUAGGGAAUCUUCGGCAAUGGACGAAAGUCUGACCGAGCAACGCCGCGUGAGUGAAGAAGGUUUUCGGAUCGUAAAACUCUGUUGUUAGAGAAGAACAAGGACGUUAGUAACUGAACGUCCCCUGACGGUAUCUAACCAGAAAGCCACGGCUAACUACGUG
This 508-nucleotide ribosomal RNA is filed under the name uncultured bacterium. RNAcentral's name for it is "partial 16S ribosomal RNA". It matches the Rfam family "Bacterial small subunit ribosomal RNA", at positions 28 to 507 of the family's 1533-position model. The record is from RNAcentral.